GACGAACGCUGGCGGCGUGCCUAAUACAUGCAAGUCGAACGCAGUGGGGACGGGUGAGGAACACGUGGGUAACCGCACAUCAGAGGGGAUAACACUUGGAAACAGGUGCUAAACCGAUACUGAUGGAUGGACCGGCGGUGCAUUAGCUAGUUGGUGAGGUAACGGCUCACCAAGGCCACGAUGCAUAGACGAGCUGAGAGAUUGACCGGCCCCACUGGAACGGGAACACGGCCCAGACUCCUACGGGAGGCAGCAGUAGGGAGUCUUGGGCAAUGGACGGAAGUCUGACCGAGCAACGCCGCGUGAGUGAAGAAGGUUUUCGGAUCGUAAAACUCUGUUGUUAGAGAAGCGUUAUCUGACCAGGAAGCCCCGGCUAACUACGUGCCAGCAGCCGCGGUAAUUC
This 403-nucleotide ribosomal RNA is filed under the name uncultured bacterium. RNAcentral's name for it is "partial 16S ribosomal RNA". It matches the Rfam family "Bacterial small subunit ribosomal RNA", at positions 28 to 526 of the family's 1533-position model. The record is from RNAcentral.